This 500-nucleotide ribosomal RNA is filed under the name uncultured bacterium. RNAcentral describes it as "partial 16S ribosomal RNA". It matches the Rfam family "Bacterial small subunit ribosomal RNA", at positions 30 to 523 of the family's 1533-position model. The record is from RNAcentral.
AUUGAACGCUGGCGGCAUGCUUUACACAUGCAAGUCGAACGGUAACAGGGUGCUUGCACCGCUGACGAGUGGCGAACGGGUGAGUAAUGCGUCGGAACGUGCCGAGUAGUGGGGGAUAACGCAGCGAAAGUUGUGCUAAUACCGCAUACGUACUGAGGUAGAAAGUGGGGGACCUUCGGGCCUCACGCUAUUCGAGCGGCCGACGUCUGAUUAGCUAGUAGGUGAGGUAAAGGCUCACCUAGGCGACGAUCAGUAGCGGGUCUGAGAGGAUGAUCCGCCACACUGGGCCUGAGACACGGCCCAGACUCCUACGGGAGGAAGCAGUGGGGAAUUUUGGACAAUGGGCGAAAGCCUGAUCCAGCCAUGCCGCGUGUCUGAAGAAGGCCUUCGGGUUGUAAAGGACUUUUGUCAGGGAGGAAAUCCCUAGUGCUAAUACCGUUGAGGGAUGGCAGUACCUGAAGAAUAAGCACCGGCUAACUACGUGCCAGCCGCCGCCGUAA